RNAcentral lists this long non-coding RNA (1014 nucleotides) under Populus tremula. RNAcentral's name for it is "long non-coding RNA (PTRE_LNC002162)". The record is from RNAcentral. Lineage: Eukaryota; Viridiplantae; Streptophyta; Magnoliopsida; Malpighiales; Salicaceae.
AGUAGGCAGAAAAACUGGAGCUCCCGUUCACUACCAGCUCCACACCAUUUCCCCCCGACCUUCUGAUUUUUUUUCUCGCCGCCUCCCCUCACAAAUAAACCUCCAGCCUUCCACCGUCUCCCCCUCCCUUGCCAUCUGCCAAACAGCCAUCACUGCCCCCUGAUCCGCUGUCAUUUUCCUUUUCUUCCCCGGCCAUUCCUUUCUCCCUCACCCAAACAACCCCUUCCACCUCUGCCUCUCAACCGCAGCUCAAGCCCCCCCCCCAUUUCUCCUUUAAUUUUUCUUCUUCUCCGUUCCACCGAUCGACUGCCUCUCAGCCGAGACCCCUUCUCUCUCAAGCUCUCCGAUCUCCACCAUCAAGCCACCACAGCAGACCCAGCUCCAUCCUCUCCUCCAGUAGCAGCCCGACACAGCGGCGCCCACUGCCAUCCUCGCCCGAACCAGCACAGGCAGCUGCACAGCCACGACCGAAGCUCAGCCGCCGGCCACCCCUUGGGCAUACGAUCUGCUACCUGAAUUAGAGAAGAAGAAGACGCCGAAAGAACCGAUCUGCAGAGAAGCAGAUCAAAGAGAACAGAUUGAAAACGAAAAAAAAAUUAAAAUCAACUGCUGUUUUGUGUGUUUCUUCGUUCUGCAGAUAACGAGGGCUUUCACCGCCGGUGAGGAGAGGAAGAAGGAGAGAAGCCGAGCCUGAUCCACCCUGUCCCCUGUUUUUGUUUGCGGCGGCGCGUGCACCCACGCGCCGCCAGUGGCGGUGGUGCGUGGAUCCACGCGCCGGAACUGUUCACGCAGCCCCCAGGACUCCUUCCCUGCAAUUCUGGAGUUUUUAGGGACCAUUUUGUAAAUUUUAAAGUUUUAAUGUAAUUUUUGUUUAUUUAUUUUAAAUUUGUAAUAUGUGAAUGUAAAAGAAAAAAGAAGAAAAUAAAAGAAAAUAAAUAAUAAAAAGAGAUGUGUGCUUGUUUGUAUUUUUAUUUAUGUUAUUAAAUUGUAAAAAUAAAAGAAGGAUAAAAAGAA